Molecule: ribosomal RNA, 655 nt
Filed under: uncultured fungus
Lineage: Eukaryota; Fungi
Description: SSU rRNA
Rfam family: Eukaryotic small subunit ribosomal RNA
Source: RNAcentral
GAGCCUGAGAAACGGCUACCACAUCCAAGGAUGGCAGCAGGCGCGCAAAUUACCUAAUCCCGACACGGGGAGGUAGUGACAAUAAAUAACAAUACGGGGCUCUUUAGGAUCUCGUAAUUGGAAUGAGUACAAUUUAAAUCUCUUAACGAGGAACAAUUGGAGGGCAAGUCUGGUGCCAGCAGCCGCGGUAAUUCCAGCUCCAAUAGCGUAUANNNAAGUUGUUGCAGUUAAAAAGCUCGUAGUUGGAUCUCGGGUACUAGCAUGUGGUACGCUUUAUUGCUGUUACUUCAUGUCUGGUCCUAAUCAACCGGUUGGCCGUUGAUGCCCUUUAUUGGGUGUUUUCGGUAGCCGGUACGCUUACUUUGAGAAAAUUAGAGUGCUUAAAGCAGGCCUUACGCCUGAAUAAUGUUGCAUGGAAUAAUAAAAUAGGACGGCAUGAUUCUAUUUUGUUGGUUUCUAGGAUCACCGUAAUGAUUAACAGGGAUAGUUGGGGGCAUUAGUAUUCAAUUGUCAGAGGUGAAAUUCUUGGAUUUAUUGAAGACUAACUACUGCGAAAGCAUUUGCCAAGGAUGUUUUCAUUAAUCAAGAACGAAAGUUAGGGGAUCGAAGACGAUCAGAUACCGUCGUAGUCUUAACCAUAAACUAUGCCGACUAG